RNAcentral lists this long non-coding RNA (1022 nucleotides) under Marmota monax (woodchuck). The record is from RNAcentral. Lineage: Eukaryota; Metazoa; Chordata; Mammalia; Rodentia; Sciuridae.
AGACACUAUUGGAAGGAGUGCUUUAGGUCAGGGCCUCGGGGCUCUUGUGAGGAUUUAAGCUAACUCCCCACCUGUUAUGGUUGGAUCGGGAAUGUCCCCUGGGGCUCCGGGUGCAGCAGUGUCCACGAGUUGGGCUUUGGGAAGUGAUUGGAUCUUGGAUCUCGAGGGCUCUGAUUUCUUUGAUGGAUUAAUCCAGCGACAGAGUCAUGAUGGAAUGGACUCAUGGGAGUUGGAGGAAACUGUAGGAGGAGGAGCCUUAUUGGGGGGUAGGUCACUGGGGCAAGCCAAUGUCCCACCACUAGCCUGCUGCCUGACAUAUCUUGGCUCUGUUCCACCGUGACCUGCCAUGAUGCUCUGCCUCACCACAGCCCAGAGCAACGGAGCCAGCCGACCAUGGACUGAAACCAGGAGCCAAAACGAAUCUUUGCUCCUUUAAAUUGACUUUGUCGGGUAUUUUGUUAGCAGCCAAAAGCGGACUAAUAACACCACUUCACUCCACAGUCCCCCCACUGGGCUCCUAGCCUUUCCUGGGUGCUUCCCAAGUGCUGGGUACCAUGUUGGACUUCAUAGUCACCAUCUCAUUCCUCCCCAAACCCCAAAGCAUUUUCCAUUACUAUUCUCAAUUUAUAAAGAAGAAACGGAGGCCCAGAGCACUUGAGGAAUCUGCCCAACCGUCCCCAAGCCCAGAGCCCUUAUGUCCCGCCACCAGCCUGCUGACGGACUUGCAUCGCCCUCUGGCCGCAGCUCAUCCCCUUGGAGGCAGCCUGCUUUCUGCAGAAUCCUGCAGCGGGGAGGGGAGUUAGGACAGCCUACAUCCUUCUUCUCACAUGAAUUUGACACCCACUUCCCAGUCACUUCACACACACACACACACACACACACACAUACACACACACACACACACACUGGGACCACCAGAACACACAUACCUCCUCCCAGGGGUUUGCCUCUCAAAUAUUUGAGAAAUGCCAUCUCCUGAUGGGCCCAGACCUGCAGCUCAACACCCCGGGGCUCUCCAGGAC